This 426-nucleotide ribosomal RNA is filed under the name uncultured Rummeliibacillus sp. RNAcentral describes it as "bacterial SSU rRNA". It matches the Rfam family "Bacterial small subunit ribosomal RNA", at positions 356 to 774 of the family's 1533-position model. The record is from RNAcentral. Lineage: Bacteria; Bacillati; Bacillota; Bacilli; Caryophanales; Caryophanaceae.
UAGGAAACCUUCACAAUUGACGGAAGGUCGGUGGAGGCACCGCGCGUGAGUGAUGAAGGUUUUUGGAACGUAAAAAUCCGGUGUAAGGGAAGAAACAGUAAGUCAGGCAAAGGACGUAACUUGACGGUUACCUAAUAGAAAGCCAAGGCUAACUACGUGGCAGCAGCCGCGGUAAUACGUAGGUGGCAAGCGUUGUCCGGAAUUAUUGGGCGUAAAGCGCGCGCAGGUGGUUUCUUAAGUCUGAUGUGAAAGCCCACGGCUUAACCGUGGAGGGUCAUUGGAAACUGGGAGACUUGAGUGCAGAAGAGGAAAGUGGAAUUCCAAGUGUAGCGGUGAAAUGCGUAGAGAUUUGGAGGAACACCAGUGGCGAAGGCGACUUUCUGGUCUGCAACUGACGCUGAGGCGCGAAAGCAUGGGGAGCAAACA